Sander lucioperca (pikeperch) is the source of this 105-nucleotide long non-coding RNA. RefSeq lists it as uncharacterized. Lineage: Eukaryota; Metazoa; Chordata; Actinopteri; Perciformes; Percidae. The record is from RefSeq and is a predicted model, not a curated record. The transcript is spliced from 3 exons.
CUGCAGUUUGAAAACUAUCAAAACUAGAGACCAUCUUGUCAUGGGAUCACACCAGCCGCGACGCCAAAUCGAUAACAGGUAAAUCAGGAGAUAAAAUGAACAAUG